This is a non-coding RNA of Paramuricea clavata, 421 nucleotides long. Lineage: Eukaryota; Metazoa; Cnidaria; Anthozoa; Malacalcyonacea; Plexauridae. The record is from the annotation of a GenBank genome assembly.
ACGCUUUAUUUCAGGUUGAUAGAAAAUGUCUAAGAAUGAGAACUGGCAGUAUCUGAAUAAACUCUUUCAUUAAAGGUACUAUCUUACUGGAUUUCACCCAAAUAAACUUCAUAAAAAAAACACUUCAUACUUCGUGAGGUGGUCUUACACAAAUGCAAAAUUCUUGUAGCAAGUCUGCCAACAAGCCGUCAACAAGUUGUGUUCGCACUGCUUGUCCCAAGUUGUCAACGAGUUUGGAAAAAGCUGAUAACAAUUUGUAACAACCUUGUUGAUAUUAUCAGACUUCUUGCAAAGUUUGUUCCUGCAAGUCCGACACAGUCAUGAUAUAUACAACCUCGUAUCGUCAACCUUGUAACAUUCUUGUUAUAUCGUGACUGUAUAUCAGACUUGUUAGUACAACCUUGUAACAAGUCUGAUAAUG